UACGUAGGGUGCAGGCGUUAAUCGGAAUUACUGGGCGUAAAGCGUGCGCAGGCGGUCUUUUAAGUCAGAUGUGAAAUCCCCGGGCUUAACCUGGGAACUGCGUUUGAAACUGGAAGGCUAGAGUGUGGCAGAGGGGGGUGGAAUUCCACGUGUAGCAGUGAAAUGCGUAGAUAUCGGGAGGAACACCAGUGGCGAAGGCGACUACCUGGCCUGUUCUUGACGCUGAGGCGCGAAAGCUAGGGGAGCAAACGGG
This 253-nucleotide ribosomal RNA is filed under the name uncultured bacterium. Its description in RNAcentral is "partial 16S ribosomal RNA". It matches the Rfam family "Bacterial small subunit ribosomal RNA", at positions 524 to 776 of the family's 1533-position model. The record is from RNAcentral.